UACGGAGGGUGCAAGCGUUAUCCGGAAUCACUGGGCGUAAAGGGCGCGUAGGCGGUCUGUUAAGUCUGGCGUUAAAGCCUGGGGCUCAACCCCAGAUCAGCGUUGGAUACUGGCAGGCUAGACGGCUGGAGAGGCGAGUGGAAUUACCAGUGUAGCGGUGGAAUGCGUAGAUACUGGUAGGAACACCCAUUGCGAAGGCAGCUCGCUGGACAGCACGUGACGCUGAGGCGCGAAAGUGUGGGGAGCAAACCGGAUUAGAUA
This 261-nucleotide ribosomal RNA is filed under the name uncultured prokaryote. Its description in RNAcentral is "partial 16S ribosomal RNA". It matches the Rfam family "Bacterial small subunit ribosomal RNA", at positions 524 to 784 of the family's 1533-position model. The record is from RNAcentral.